GAUGAACGCUAGCGACAGGCCUAACACAUGCAAGUCGAGGGGCAGCAUGAAAUUAGCUUGCUAAUUUGAUGGCGACCGGCGCACGGGUGAGUAACACGUAUGCAACCUGCCUGUAAGCGGGGGAUAACCCAGAGAAAUCUGGACUAAUACCGCAUAAUAUCAUAGUUUCGCAUGUUACUAUGAUUAAAGAUUUAUUGCUUACAGAUGGGCAUGCGUCUGAUUAGCUAGUUGGCGGGGUAACGGCCCACCAAGGCUACGAUCAGUAGGGGUUCUGAGAGGAAGGUCCCCCACAUUGGAACUGAGACACGGUCCAAACUCCUACGGGAGGCAGCAGUGAGGAAUAUUGGUCAAUGGUCGAGAGACUGAACCAGCCAUGCCGCGUGAAGGUGACGGCCCUAUGGGGUCUUAAAACUUCUUUUGUAAGGGAGCAAUAAGGUUCACGUGUGGACUGAUGAGAGUACCUUACGAAUAAGCAUCGGCU
This 481-nucleotide ribosomal RNA is filed under the name uncultured bacterium. Its description in RNAcentral is "bacterial SSU rRNA". It matches the Rfam family "Bacterial small subunit ribosomal RNA", at positions 28 to 498 of the family's 1533-position model. The record is from RNAcentral.